CAGUCGCCACGGGAAUACGGAGGGUGCAAGCGUUAAUCGGAAUUACUGGGCGUAAAGCGUGCGUAGGCGGUUCGUUAAGUCUGUUGUGAAAGCCCCGGGCUCAACCUGGGAAUGGCAAUGGAUACUGGCGAGCUAGAGUGUGUCAGAGGAUGGUGGAAUUCCCGGUGUAGCGGUGAAAUGCGUAGAGAUCGGGAGGAACAUCAGUGGCGAAAGCGGCUCACUGGACCAUUUCUGACGCUGAUGCACGAAAGCUAGGGGAGCAAACAGGAUUAGAUACCCGCGUAGUCCCUGUCUCUUAUAA
RNAcentral lists this ribosomal RNA (301 nucleotides) under uncultured bacterium. Its description in RNAcentral is "partial 16S ribosomal RNA". It matches the Rfam family "Bacterial small subunit ribosomal RNA", at positions 509 to 809 of the family's 1533-position model. The record is from RNAcentral.